GUUAUAGGGACAAGCGAAUAAGUGCACAUGGUGGAUGCCUUGGCGAUUACAGGCGAUGAAGGACGUAGUAGCUUGCGAUAAGCUGCGGGGAGUGAGCAAACACACUUUGAUCCGCAGAUUUCCGAAUGGGGCAACCC
Molecule: ribosomal RNA, 137 nt
Filed under: Janthinobacterium lividum
Lineage: Bacteria; Pseudomonadati; Pseudomonadota; Betaproteobacteria; Burkholderiales; Oxalobacteraceae
Description: partial 23S ribosomal RNA
Rfam family: Bacterial large subunit ribosomal RNA
Source: RNAcentral